Non-coding RNA from Russula brevipes, 98 nucleotides. The record is from the annotation of a GenBank genome assembly. Lineage: Eukaryota; Fungi; Basidiomycota; Agaricomycetes; Russulales; Russulaceae.
GGGCGGAUGGCACAGUGGUAGCGCGCUUGCUUCGCAAUCUCAUGACCUUGUCAUGAGUACGCUGCAUGAGGUCGUGGGUUCAAACCCCACUUCGUCCA